This 2306-nucleotide ribosomal RNA is filed under the name human gut metagenome. RNAcentral describes it as "bacterial LSU rRNA". It matches the Rfam family "Bacterial large subunit ribosomal RNA", at positions 1 to 2321 of the family's 2925-position model. The record is from RNAcentral.
UUAAGUGAAUAAGGGCGCACGGUGGAUGCCUUGGCACUAGGAGCCGAUGAAGGACGGGACUAACACCGAUAUGCUUUGGGGAGCUGUAAGUAAGCUAUGAUCCAGAGAUUUCCGAAUGGGGGAACCCAAUAUCUUUUAUAGGAUAUUACUUUUCAGUGAAUACAUAGCUGAUUAGAGGUAGACGCAGAGAACUGAAACAUCUUAGUACCUGCAGGAAGAGAAAGAAAAUUCGAUUCCCUGAGUAGCGGCGAGCGAAACGGGAAGAGCCCAAACCAACAAGCUUGCUUGUUGGGGUUGUAGGACUCCAAUAUGGUAGUCUGUUAGUAUAGUUGAAGGAUUUGGAAAAUUCCGCUAAAGAGGGUGAAAGCCCCGUAGACGAAAUGCUGACAACACCUAGGAGGAUCCUGAGUACGGCGGAACACGAGAAAUUCCGUCGGAAUCCGCGGGGACCAUCCCGCAAGGCUAAAUACUCCCUAGUGACCGAUAGUGAACCAGUACCGUGAGGGAAAGGUGAAAAGCACCCCGGAAGGGGAGUGAAAUAGAUCCUGAAACCGUGUGCCUACAACAAGUCAAAGCUCGUUAAUGAGUGAUGGCGUGCCUUUUGUAGAAUGAACCGGCGAGUUACGAUUGCAUGCGAGGUUAAGUCGAAGAGACGGAGCCGCAGCGAAAGCGAGUCUGAAUAGGGCGAAUGAGUAUGUAGUCGUAGACCCGAAACCAUGUGAUCUACCCAUGUCCAGGUUGAAGGUGCGGUAAAACGCACUGGAGGACCGAACCCACGUACGUUGAAAAGUGCGGGGAUGAGGUGUGGGUAGCGGAGAAAUUCCAAACGAACUUGGAGAUAGCUGGUUCUCUCCGAAAUAGCUUUAGGGCUAGCCUCGGAAUUGAGAAUGAUGGAGGUAGAGCACUGUUUGGACUAGGGGCCCAUCUCGGGUUACCGAAUUCAGAUAAACUCCGAAUGCCAUUCAUUUAUAUCCGGGAGUCAGACUGCGAGUGAUAAGAUCCGUAGUCGAAAGGGAAACAGCCCAGACCACCAGCUAAGGUCCCAAAAUAUAUGUUAAGUGGAAAAGGAUGUGGGGUUGCACAGACAACUAGGAUGUUGGCUUAGAAGCAGCCACCAUUUAAAGAGUGCGUAAUAGCUCACUAGUCGAGUGACCCUGCGCCGAAAAUGUACCGGGGCUAAACAUAUUACCGAAGCUGUGGACUACACCAUUAGGUGUAGUGGUAGGAGAGCGUUCUAAGGGCGUUGAAGGUCGAUCGUGAGGACGGCUGGAGCGCUUAGAAGUGAGAAUGCCGGUAUGAGUAGCGAAAGACAGGUGAGAAUCCUGUCCACCGUAUGACUAAGGUUUCCUGGGGAAGGCUCGUCCGCCCAGGGUUAGUCGGGACCUAAGCCGAGGCCGAUAGGCGUAGGCGAUGGACAACAGGUUGAUAUUCCUGUACCAGUUGUUUUUGUUUGAGCAAUGGAGGGACGCAGUAGGCUAAGGAAUGCAUGCGAUUGGAAGUGCAUGUCCAAGCAAUGAGUCUUGAGUAGAGUUAAAUGCUUUACUCUUUAAGGACAAGUUGUGAUGGGGAGCGAAAUAAUAGUAGCGAAGUUCCUGAUGUCACACUGCCAAGAAAAGCUUCUAGUGAGAAAACAACUGCCCGUACCGUAAACCGACACAGGUAGUCGAGGAGAGUAUCCUAAGGUGAGCGAGCGAACUCUCGUUAAGGAACUCGGCAAAAUGACCCCGUAACUUCGGGAGAAGGGGUGCUGACUUCGGUCAGCCGCAGUGAAUAGGCCCAAGCGACUGUUUAUCAAAAACACAGGUCUCUGCAAAAUCGUAAGAUGAAGUAUAGGGGCUGACGCCUGCCCGGUGCUGGAAGGUUAAGAGGAUGGGUUAGCUUCGGCGAAGCUCAGAAUUGAAGCCCCAGUAAACGGCGGCCGUAACUAUAACGGUCCUAAGGUAGCGAAAUUCCUUGUCGGGUAAGUUCCGACCCGCACGAAAGGCGUAACGAUUUGGGCACUGUCUCAACGAGAGACUCGGUGAAAUUUUAGUACCUGUGAAGAUGCAGGUUACCCGCGACAGGACGGAAAGACCCCAUGGAGCUUUACUGUAGUUUGAUAUUGAGUGUUUGUACCACAUGUACAGGAUAGGUAGGAGCCGAUGAGACCGGAACGCUAGUUUCGGAGGAGGCGCUGGUGGGAUACUACCCUUGUGUUAUGAACCCUCUAACCCGCACCACUAAUCGUGGUGGGAGACAGUGUCAGAUGGGCAGUUUGACUGGGGCGGUCGCCUCCUAAAAGGUAACGGAGGCGCCCAAAGGUUCCC